Molecule: ribosomal RNA, 497 nt
Filed under: uncultured bacterium
Lineage: Bacteria
Description: partial 16S ribosomal RNA
Rfam family: Bacterial small subunit ribosomal RNA
Source: RNAcentral
GAUGAACGCUGGCGGCGUGCCUAAUACAUGCAAGUCGAGCGAACGGACGAGAAGCUUGCUUCUCUGCUGUUAGCGGCGGACGGGUGAGUAACACGUGGAUAACCUACCUAUAAGACUGGGAUAACUUCGGGAAACCGUAGCCAAUAACGGAUAAUAUUUUGAACCGCAUGGUUCAAAAGUGAAAGACGGUCUUGCUGUCACUUAUAGAUGGAUCCGCGCUGCAUUAGCUAGUUGGUAAGGUAACGGCUUACCAAGGCAACGAUGCAUAGCCGACCUGAGAGGGUGAUCGGCCACACUGGAACUGAGACACGGUCCAGACUCCUACGGGAGGCAGCAGUAGGGAAUCUUCCGCAAUGGGCGAAAGCCUGACGGAGCAACGCCGCGUGAGUGAUGAAGGUCUUCGGAUCGUAAAACUCUGUUAUUAGGGAAGAACAUAUGUGUAAGUAACUGUGCACAUCUUGACGGUACCUAAUCAGAAAGCCACGGCUAACUACGUG